Molecule: ribosomal RNA, 530 nt
Filed under: uncultured bacterium
Lineage: Bacteria
Description: bacterial SSU rRNA
Rfam family: Bacterial small subunit ribosomal RNA
Source: RNAcentral
AAUAGAUACCCCGGUAGUCCACGCCGUAAACGAUGAGUGCUAAGUGUUAGGGGGUUUCCGCCCCUUAGUGCUGCAGCUAACGCAUUAAGCACUCCGCCUGGGGAGUACGGUCGCAAGACUGAAACUCAAAGGAAUUGACGGGGGCCCGCACAAGCGGUGGAGCAUGUGGUUUAAUUCGAAGCAACGCGAAGAACCUUACCAGGUCUUGACAUCCCGUUGACCACUGUAGAGAUAUAGUUUCCCCUUCGGGGGCAACGGUGACAGGUGGUGCAUGGUUGUCGUCAGCUCGUGUCGUGAGAUGUUGGGUUAAGUCCCGCAACGAGCGCAACCCUUGAUCUUAGUUGCCAUCAUUUAGUUGGGCACUCUAAGGUGACUGCCGGUGACAAACCGGAGGAAGGUGGGGAUGACGUCAAAGUCAUCAUGCCCCUUAUGACCUGGGCUACACACGUGCUACAAUGGACGAUACAAACGGUUGCCAACUCGCGAGAGGGAGCUAAUCCGAUAAAGUCGUUCUCAGUUCGGAUUGUAGG